Neofelis nebulosa (Clouded leopard) is the source of this 84-nucleotide non-coding RNA. The record is from the annotation of a RefSeq genome assembly. NCBI's taxonomy places the organism in Eukaryota, Metazoa, Chordata, Mammalia, Carnivora, Felidae.
GCCUGAGUGGCUCAGUUGGUUGAGUGUCUGACUCCGGCUCAGGUCAUGACUCACAGUCCGUGGGUUCGAGCCCCGCGUCGGGCU